This 519-nucleotide ribosomal RNA is filed under the name Aspergillus salinarum. RNAcentral describes it as "LSU rRNA". It matches the Rfam family "Eukaryotic large subunit ribosomal RNA", at positions 87 to 609 of the family's 3401-position model. The record is from RNAcentral. Lineage: Eukaryota; Fungi; Ascomycota; Eurotiomycetes; Eurotiales; Aspergillaceae.
CGGCGAGUGAAGCGGCAAGAGCUCAAAUUUGAAAUCUGGCCCUUCCGGGGUCCGAGUUGUAAUUUGUAGAGGAUGCUUCGGGUGCGGCCCCCGUCGAAGUGCCCUGGAACGGGCCGUCGGAGAGGGUGAGAAUCCCGUCUGGGACGGGGUGUCCGUGCCCGUGUGAAGCUCCCUCGACGAGUCGAGUUGUUUGGGAAUGCAGCUCUAAGUGGGUGGUAAAUUUCAUCUAAAGCUAAAUACCGGCCGGAGACCGAUAGCGCACAAGUAGAGUGAUCGAAAGAUGAAAAGCACCUUGAAAAGGGAGUUAAACAGCACGUGAAAUUGUUGAAAGGGAAGCGCUGACGACCAGACUCGGCCGCGGGGUUCAGCCGGCAUUCGUGCCGGUGUACUUCCCCGCGGCCGGGCCAGCGUCGGUUUGGGCGGUCGGUCAAAGGCCCCCGGAAUGUAGCGCCCCUCGGGGCGCCUUAUAGCCGGGGGUGCAAUGCGGCCUGCCUAGACCGAGGAACGCGCUUCGGCUCG